This 74-nucleotide transfer RNA is filed under the name Candidatus Saccharimonadota bacterium. RNAcentral's name for it is "tRNA-Trp". It matches the Rfam family "tRNA". Rfam says of the family: Transfer RNA (tRNA) molecules are approximately 80 nucleotides in length. Their secondary structure includes four short double-helical elements and three loops (D, anti-codon, and T loops). Lineage: Bacteria; Candidatus Saccharimonadota. RNAcentral also lists the same sequence under 2 other names. The record is from RNAcentral.
GGGGGCGUAGUACAGUGGUAGUAUGUCGGUCUCCAAAACCGAAGACGGGGGUUCGAUCCCCUCCGCCCCUGCCA